AGUGAACGCUGGCGGUAGGCCUAACACAUGCAAGUCGAACGGCAGCACAGUAAGAGCUUGCUCUUACGGGUGGCGAGUGGCGGACGGGUGAGGAAUACAUCGGAAUCUACUUUUUCGUGGGGGAUAACGUAGGGAAACUUACGCUAAUACCGCAUACGACCUACGGGUGAAAGCAGGGGAUCUUCGGACCUUGCGCGAUUGAAUGAGCCGAUGUCGGAUUAGAUAGUUGGCGGGGUAAAGACCCACCAAGGCGACGAUCCGUAACUGGUCUGAGAGAAUGAGCAGCCACACUGGAACUGAGACACGGUCCAGACUCCUCAGGGAGGCAGCAGUGGGGAAUAUUGGACAACAGGCGCAAGCCUGAUCCAGCCAUACCGCGUGGGUGAAGAAGGCCUUCGGGUUGUAAAGACCUUUUGUUGGGAAAGAAAAGCAGCAGGUUAAUACCCCGCUGUUCUGACGGUACCCAAAGAAUAAGCACCGGCUAACUACGUG
Molecule: ribosomal RNA, 492 nt
Filed under: uncultured bacterium
Lineage: Bacteria
Description: partial 16S ribosomal RNA
Rfam family: Bacterial small subunit ribosomal RNA
Source: RNAcentral